AUACUUACCUGGCAGGGGAGAUACCAUGAUCACGAAGGUGGUUUUCCCCGGGCGAGGUUUAUCCAUUACACUCCGGAUAUGCUGACCCCUGCCAUUUCCCCAAAUGUGGGAAACUUAACUGCAUGAUUUGUGGGAGUGGGGGACUGUGUUCACUCUUUCCUCUA
Otolemur garnettii (small-eared galago) is the source of this 164-nucleotide small nuclear RNA. Its record names the gene U1. It matches the Rfam family "U1 spliceosomal RNA". Rfam says of the family: U1 is a small nuclear RNA (snRNA) component of the spliceosome (involved in pre-mRNA splicing). Its 5' end forms complementary base pairs with the 5' splice junction, thus defining the 5' donor site of an intron. The record is from Ensembl. Lineage: Eukaryota; Metazoa; Chordata; Mammalia; Primates; Galagidae.